GAUGAACGCUGGCGGCGUGCCUAAUACAUGCAAGUCGAGCGAACGGACGAGAAGCUUGCUUCUCUGAUGUUAGCGGCGGACGGGUGAGUAACACGUGGAUAACCUACCUAUAAGACUGGGAUAACUUCGGGAAACCGUAGCUAAUACCGUAUAAUCUUUUGAACCGCAUGGUUCAAAAGUGAAAGACGGUCUUGCUGUCACUUAUAGAUGGAUCCGCGCUGCAUUAGCUAGUUGGUAAGGUAACGGCUUACCAAGGCAACGAUGCAUAGCCGACCUGAGAGGGGGAUAGGCCACACUGGAACUGAGACACGGUCCAGAGUCCUACGGGAGGCAGCAGAAGGGAAUCUUCCGCAAUGGGCGAAAGCCUGACGGAGCAACGCCGCGUGAGUGAUGAAGGUCUUCGGAUCGUAAAACUCUGUUAUUAGGGAAAAACAUAUGUGUAAGUAACUGUGCACAUCUUGACGGUACCUAAUCAGAAAGCCACGGCUAACUACGUG
RNAcentral lists this ribosomal RNA (497 nucleotides) under uncultured bacterium. RNAcentral's name for it is "partial 16S ribosomal RNA". It matches the Rfam family "Bacterial small subunit ribosomal RNA", at positions 28 to 507 of the family's 1533-position model. The record is from RNAcentral.